UUUGCUUCGGCUUCUUUGGGAAUUUUUUACUAUUUGUUUGUAUUUAGGUGAAAGAUAAGACUUCAAAUAUACUGUCUAAAAAAAUAUCUUUUUGAAAUUUUGUGUAUAAAUGAGUGAUUUGGUCAGGUAAAUAAAGCUGGAAUUUCCCCUUCUCGGAAGCUCUCUGGCUUCAUCCAUACCGGUGUCCUUAUGUUUGUGGUUCCCAAGAGAAAAUGAGCUUGUAGAGUUUUCUAAAUUUUUGGU
This 243-nucleotide long non-coding RNA is filed under the name Mytilus galloprovincialis (Mediterranean mussel). The record is from RNAcentral. Lineage: Eukaryota; Metazoa; Mollusca; Bivalvia; Mytilida; Mytilidae.